Molecule: long non-coding RNA, 1337 nt
Filed under: Erythranthe guttata (spotted monkey flower)
Lineage: Eukaryota; Viridiplantae; Streptophyta; Magnoliopsida; Lamiales; Phrymaceae
Description: long non-coding RNA (EGUT_LNC002592)
Source: RNAcentral
UAAAACCAUGAAAUUCACUAAACCCUAGAUCUGAUCUGAAAAUUAGCCCUCCCUCUUCUCUCCUUCUAGAAACCACCGUUCUGCUCCCUCUCUUCUUCCACCGUUUUGCUCCAUCUCUUCUUCCACCGUCGAUGAUGUCGCUCUCCGCCGCUCCCCGCUGCUCCCCGCCGCUCCCCUCCGCUCCACUUUUUCUUCCUUCACCAACGUUGGGCAGCAAUAAUAAUCCCUCCCAACCCUUCUUAAAAAAUGGCAGCACGAACAAACGAAAGCGACGACCCACCGUAAUUCCAGGUACAAUACACACACAGACAUGUGUGUGCGCGUGUAUAUGUAUAAUAAAUAAAUGAAUUUUGAGAAUAGUUGGAUAUAUGAAAGUACGAGUGCUAUCUCUUGCCAUUUUUACUUCUUUAUGUGUUGUCAGGCUUCAAAACUUGGUCCACUCGUUUGAGGAGUUCGGUGACAAAGAUAAGUUUAGGAAUCCUAUUGGUUCUAAUGAUUUAUUGGCUUAUUGACUUAAUUUUUUCAUUUUUUUUGAAUCAUAAAAGAUGGGCUAUCAUGCUGAGAUUAUACUGAAGCUAUGCUUUACAGAAUAAUAUGUUAUAAAUAAUGUUUUAAUAAAUUCGUAUAUAUAUAUUCAGAUCUAGAUGCAGAAGUUCACUUGAAAUUAAUUUACUUGUUGAACAACAUAUUUGCUUGCAGAAUAAUGGAAGCCAUUGACAUGUUCCUUGAAGGUACUCAAAAUCUAGUGAAGUUGUACACGAAUUUGGCAUAUACUUCAAGUUAUAGUCAACUACAAACUACACAUUACUACAUAUGACUAUAAUCAUACAUAAUAACAUGUAGUCAUGUAUAGGUUAUGUGGUUUUUUAAACGUAGAGCGAUGAUGAUUUGUUUUUUGUUGAAGAACAUAUGCUUUGAUUUUGUAUGUUGAUCAAUAUUCGUACAAGUUGAUAUAUAAUAUCAAGUUUUAAAUUGUGAUUUUUGUUGUUCGUGUCGAUGAAGUUCUUUUUUUGUGGUUUCUAUAGUCACAUGUGGUCAUAUACAUGUAGUCAUUCAUAUAUAGUCACGUGUGGUCAUAUACAUGUAGUCAUAUAUAGUCACAUGUGGUCAUAUACAUGUAGUCAUAUAUAGUCACAUGUGGUCAUAUACAUGUAGUCAUAUAUAGGCAAAUGUGGUCAUAUACAUAUAGUCAUAUAUAGUCACAUGUAGUCAUAUACAUAUAGUCAUAUAUAGUCACGUGUAAUAACAUGUAGUAAUAUAUAGUUAUAUAUAAAGUAUGUGUUUUUUCUGAUAUAUAAUGACGUUGAUGAAUGUGUUUUUCCAAUUUUUUGUUCGGU